Molecule: long non-coding RNA, 1065 nt
Filed under: Homo sapiens (human)
Lineage: Eukaryota; Metazoa; Chordata; Mammalia; Primates; Hominidae
Description: HSALNT0204640
Source: RNAcentral
AGGAAAUGAAAAACCCCACUUUGAUGUAGCUUAUAUUCUAAUAAUGGAGACAAAAUAAACAAGAAACAUUAAGUAAAAAUACCAAAUUUUAGAUCUUAAUAAGUGCCAAAGUAGACCAAAGAGACCGGUUGCACUGGCUUACACCUGUAAUUCCAGCACUAUGGGAGGCCAGGAGUUGAAUUCAGGAGUUCAAGACCAGCCUGGGCAACACAGUAAGACCACAUCUCAAAAAAAAACAAGAAGAAAAGUAGGCCAAAGAAAUAUAAAUUACGUAUGUGGUAGAGGGGACUUGACAGUUUAGAUAGGAUGUCUGAAAGAGGCUUCCCAGAGAGUGCGUUUCUGAGUUAAACAAUGAAGUGGGUAAUCUAGUAAUAGAGUGUUUGGAAUAAGAGCAUUCCAAGGAGACAUACAAAAAGCAACAACCUUGGAGUUGUAACACAUUUAGCAUAUUCAAGGUAGAGUCAGAAGCCAGUGUGCUGGAAACAACUGAAUGAAAGAGAGAGGAUAAAGAAGAAAUCAGGAUACUAAGAAGAGGAGAGCAGGUAAUGUUCCACACUGAAGAUCACAGAAAAGACUUCAAGUAAAUUCUAAGUGAAGUGGACAGCCAGAAGGAAUGUUUUAAGAAUUUUUAGACAGAAUUUGACGUCAUUACUAUGGCAAGGACAAAAUCACGAGGAUCAGGCCUUUAUUAUCUGAAGACUGAAAGACUGAAUGAGAAAUGCAUCUGAUCUAAUGCUGAGACAGUCGAAUUUGGGAAUUUGAAAUGCGAUUUACCAGAGAGCAACUUGGGCUUAGCACAUGAACCUGCAAGAUCUCAAACUGAAUAUACAAAAAGACAGUCUAUGGAUGUCAAUACUGAGAUAACAGAGAAGCUAAAGUUAUCUGAAGCAAAAUGUAAAACAAUCAUGAUAAAACUGAUGAAGAUGGCCUUUUCUGGUCCGCCUGGUAAACUCCUAUUCUUCCUUCAGAUUCAGCCCAAAUCAGUCUUCAGUAAUAAUUCUCACUUACUGGACUUGGCGCUUGACUGAGAGAGUGAGGCAGACAGAUGACUUUGGACCGUACUGG